RNAcentral lists this transfer RNA (72 nucleotides) under Camelus bactrianus (Bactrian camel). It matches the Rfam family "tRNA". From Rfam's summary of the family: Transfer RNA (tRNA) molecules are approximately 80 nucleotides in length. Their secondary structure includes four short double-helical elements and three loops (D, anti-codon, and T loops). Lineage: Eukaryota; Metazoa; Chordata; Mammalia; Artiodactyla; Camelidae. RNAcentral also lists the same sequence under 2 other names. The record is from Rfam by way of RNAcentral.
GAGGGUAUAGCUCAGUGGUAGAGCACAUGCUUAGUGUGCACAAGGUCCUAGGUUCAAUUCCUAGCACUUCCA